UACGUAGGGUCCAAGCGUUAUCCGGAAUCACUGGGCGUAAAGCGUGCGUAGGCGGCGUGUUAAGUGUGAUGUUAAAUCGUGGGGCUCAACCCUGUCGGUGCAUCACAUACUGGCAUGCUAGAGGAAGGCAGAGGCAAGUGGAAUUUGUAGUGUAGCAGUGAAAUGCGUAGAUAUUACAAGGAACACCAAUGGCGAAGGCAGCUUGCUGGGCCUUUUCUGACGCUGAGGUACGAAAGCGUGGGGAGCGAACAGG
This 253-nucleotide ribosomal RNA is filed under the name uncultured bacterium. RNAcentral's name for it is "partial 16S ribosomal RNA". It matches the Rfam family "Bacterial small subunit ribosomal RNA", at positions 524 to 776 of the family's 1533-position model. The record is from RNAcentral.